Molecule: transfer RNA, 102 nt
Organism: Metarhizium anisopliae BRIP 53293
Lineage: Eukaryota; Fungi; Ascomycota; Sordariomycetes; Hypocreales; Clavicipitaceae
Rfam family: tRNA
About the family: Transfer RNA (tRNA) molecules are approximately 80 nucleotides in length.
Source: Rfam
GGCAACAUGGCCGAGUGGUUAAGGCGAAAGACUCGAAUCUUAGCACAUAAGAAAGUUGAUCUUUUGGGUUCGCCCGCGUCAGUUCGAAUCUGGCUGUUGUCG